CAUACAAAACGUAAGUGUUCCGAUCAAAAAAAAUUGUUUCAACAUUGUGUGUAUUUUUCUCAGAUUUCAACGUGAUUAACAUUCUGCGUACAACACAAAGCAAAUUUAAUUCCAUCGAUUUGCUACAUUUAUUCGAACCGAUUUUGUGUUUUCUGCUGACCGUGCAACACACACAAAGCAAGUGAGUAUUGUUAUUGUUUCGUAAGUGCUUCCAUGUGGUUCGCAAAUACACUGUUGGUGGGUCUUAUUGCAUAUGCGUGUGUGGGUAAAAUACAUAGUUUAAGAUGUAGUUUUAGGUUAAUUUUUCCAUUUUUAUUUAUGUACUUCAAAUAUGCAUACUCUAGCACGACCACCGGGGACAACACUAACUACCUUUUUCGAGUUGUGUGAAAACGAUGAAUUUGCAAGAACAUUGCUAUAUUCCGAAAUACCACAAUAUUUCACUUGAAAUCCAUCAUCGAAAACAUUUCAACGACGAAAGCAAGGGGAGCGUGUUGACGGUUAUCCAAAUGUCCGUAAAACUGAUGCCAUAAGACGCAUUUACACCAUCCAUCCGAACAACGCCGAAUGUUUUUAUUUGCGUCUGCUAUUAGUCAACGUGCGCGGACCAAGAUCAUUUGAUGAUUUGAAAACUGUUGACGGUCAGUUGUGUGCGACGUAUCA
This is a long non-coding RNA of Bactrocera neohumeralis, 663 nucleotides long. RefSeq lists it as uncharacterized. The transcript has 2 exons. The record is from RefSeq and is a predicted model, not a curated record. Lineage: Eukaryota; Metazoa; Arthropoda; Insecta; Diptera; Tephritidae.